GUCUUGGUCACUGCUCUAGCCCCAAGAGUUGCAAAAUACCUAGAAGACCUUAAAAGAGUUCUAAAUACUGUUUUAAGUAAGUGGAAUAAAAGUCAGACAAGGAGGCAGAUGGUCACCCUGAGCCCCAGGCUCGAUGCAUGGCCGGGAGCACUCAGCAGAGAGAGUGGCUGGGACAGGACUUUAGUUUGCAAACAUCUGACAGCCUGACCAUAGAUUACAAAAUUCUUAUUGUUGAGCAUAGAGCACUGGUUAGGGAGCCCACAGCUCUGGGUUCCAGUCCCAGGACUGGCACCAAUCAUGACAAGUUCCAGAAUACUUUGUGGUUUAUAAGGCAUUCCCACAGAUGGGCUCUCAUUAGACAGGCUCUGUGAGCUCCAGCAAGCAACUUUUAGAGGCCUGUGGGGAGGAAGGGGCCUCCAUAGGCCGCUGUGCUGUGGUCUCCCCUGGUCCUUAGCUAAGCUCUCUCUACUCUUCUGCUAAAGCGAAGAUGCCAAUGACGUGGCCUCCAAGGUUUAUCUAUGAAAGUUUAGGGUUAGGAAUUCACAACCAAUCAGAUCAUAGCACAAGUGUGCGGAGACCCCUCUCUGUAGCACAGCGGCUCCUCACCUUCAGCGUUAGUGGCAGGGCAGCGUCCCCAGGCCCUGAGAAUGUUCCCGGCAUUCUCGGCGGUAACUUACCACGGUGUUUUGUGAAAACAGAUUGUGAAACGGGGCUUCUGUGUAGGUUGCUUGAGAGCCAGUCCCAGGGAGCAGAAGGGAGAGGCUGGGAAAUGGAGAGACAGAGGAAGGGUGGGGUGGACGCCCAGGCGCGUCUGGGUCCUCUCUGUCUAAGGGCCUGGACACCACACGGAUGCCCUCCAGAGCUGUCUCCCAGGAGUGGACCGCAGGACAGCCCUCCCACCCUUGUGCUCCCUGACUGCCCAAGAUGCCCCCAGAGAAACCAGGAUCUAUCCCGCAGGCCGGACUCUUGCUAUGAGGAAGGAAAUCCGUGAACUCUUCUCCUUGGACAAAGCGUAGCUUUUCAGGUGGCUGGGAACACACAGAAGUCUGGUUGGGUUUGGAGCCCAGCAGGCUCCACCUUGGCCCAGCCCUGAGGCCUCAGGCUGAAGAAAUACUACUGUACCCUCUCCUUUACACAUUCCUUUAAUAAUAUUUAUGGUGUGUGCCAAGGGUAAGUUGGAAUUUAAACACCCCUUAACAUUGAAAGAAUAACAGCUUUAAGAUAUAAUUGACACACUGUAUACAAUUCACUUUUGUGAAGUAAGUAGCUCAGUGGUCGUUGAGCUAUUCAGAGUUGCACUGCCAUUGCCACCUUCUAAUUUUAGAACAUGUUCAUUACUCCAGAAGAAAACCCUGUGUCUAUUAGGGGUCACUCUCCAGUCUCCCUUGCCGUGGGUCUCUAUGGAUCUGUCUAUUUGAGACACUUCAUACUAAUGGAGUCAUGACAUGUGGCUUUUGUGAUUAGCUUCUUUCAUUUAGUAUGUUUUUCACUACAGUUUUAUCCACGUUGUAUCAUGCCUGCAUCCUUCCUUUCUUUUUAUUGCCGAAUAGCCCUCUGCUUUGCGGAUAUACUAUAUUUCACUUAUCAUUUGACUGACAUUCAGUUUGCCUCUACUUUUUGGCUGUUGUGACUGAUGCUGCCAUGAACUUCCUCAUACAAGUCUUCACCUAGACAUGUGUUUUUGUUUCUCUUGGACACAAACUAGGAGUAGGGUCAUAGGCUAACUCUGCUGCACAUUGUGGGGAGCUGCUAAACUUUCCCAAGAGGCUGCCCCAUUUGAUCCCCACCAGCCACGUAUGAAGGUCCACACUCCUUAUGUUCCUUUUUUUUAAUAGUUGCCCUCAUAGGUGUGAAGAGGUAUUUUCAUGCGCAUCGAUUUCCCUGACGGCUGAUGCUGUUGAGUAACUUUUCAUUCACUCCUUGGCCAUUCUGGUGUUGUCUUUGGAGAAACAUCUAUCCAAAUCCUUUGCUUAUUUUGAAAUUAAGUCAUCCUCUUAUUGUUGAGUUGUAAGAGUUCUUUACAUAUUCUGGAUACAAGUUCCUUUCGGAUGCCUGUUGAGUUUUGAGAGACAUCUAAAUCAAGGUUGGCGCAGGUGUUGCUUUUUGAAGACUCUGUACCGUGUUGCAAGGUGACAGAAAACUUGCAAAGAAUGCAUUCCAUUCCACACAGACCCCAGAGGAAGAAUACACUGUAGAACGGUCCUUGGAGGUGGCUCACUGCUCAGUUCUACCCAUUUCAAAUCCUGCUGAAGAAGAGUCACGGAGCCCUGGUGGGCUGCAGGGUUAGGGUUACAGACUGGUUAAGGUGUUGGAGGCAGAAUCACAGGAGGGGCUUUUCUUUCUUUUUGAAAGCAUAGGCUUUCAUUUUUUUGGCAAAUGAGAUGGUACAUUAAAAGCAUUGUGGAGUUGUAAAGGGAUAUGCAAAUAUAAGAUGACAUUCUUAUUGUUACUAUUGUUUGUGGGAACCAAUGAAAAUCGUGUCUUGGAUGAAAUCACAGAG
Molecule: long non-coding RNA, 2500 nt
Organism: Fukomys damarensis (Damara mole-rat)
Lineage: Eukaryota; Metazoa; Chordata; Mammalia; Rodentia; Bathyergidae
Source: Ensembl